This 254-nucleotide ribosomal RNA is filed under the name uncultured bacterium. Its description in RNAcentral is "partial 16S ribosomal RNA". It matches the Rfam family "Bacterial small subunit ribosomal RNA", at positions 524 to 776 of the family's 1533-position model. The record is from RNAcentral.
UACGGGGGGAGCAAGCGUUGUUCGGAUUUACUGGGCGUAAAGGGCGCGUAGGCGGCCUCCGCAAGUCAGUUGUGAAAUCUCCGAGCUUAACUCGGAAAGGUCAACUGAUACUGCGGGGCUAGAGUGCGGAAGGGGCAACUGGAAUUCUUGGUGUAGCGGUGGAAUGCGCAGAUAUCAGGAGGAACACCGAUAGCGAAGGCAGCUCGCUGGGACGGUACUGACGCUGAGGCGCGAAAGCGUGGGGAGCGAACAGG